Molecule: ribosomal RNA, 253 nt
Filed under: uncultured bacterium
Lineage: Bacteria
Description: partial 16S ribosomal RNA
Rfam family: Bacterial small subunit ribosomal RNA
Source: RNAcentral
UACGAAGGGGGCUAGCGUUGCUCGGAAUCACUGGGCGUAAAGCGCACGUAGGCGGAUCGUUAAGUCAGGGGUGAAAUCCUGGAGCUCAACUCCAGAACUGCCUUUGAUACUGGCGACCUUGAGUUCGGGGGAGGUGAGUGGAACUGCGAGUGUAGAGGUGAAAUUCGUAGAUAUUCGCAAGAACACCAGUGGCGAAGGCGGCUCACUGGCCCGAUACUGACGCUGAGGCACGAAAGCGUGGGGAGCAAACAGG